This 488-nucleotide ribosomal RNA is filed under the name uncultured bacterium. Its description in RNAcentral is "bacterial SSU rRNA". It matches the Rfam family "Bacterial small subunit ribosomal RNA", at positions 28 to 533 of the family's 1533-position model. The record is from RNAcentral.
GACGAACGCUGGCGGCGUGCUUAACACAUGCAAGUCGAACGGUGACGAGGAGCUUGCUCCUCCGAUCAGUGGCGAACGGGUGAGUAACACGUGAGCAACCUGCCCCUCACUCUGGGAUAACAGUUGGAAACAGCUGCUAAUACCGGAUACGACACAGACAGGCAUCUGUACUGUGUGGAAAGUUUUUCGGUGAGGGAUGGGCUCGCGGCCUAUCAGUUUGUUGGUGGGGUAAUGGCCUACCAAGACGACGACGGGUAGCCGGCCUGAGAGGGCGACCGGCCACACUGGGACUGAGAUACGGCCCAGACUCCUACGGGAGGCAGCAGUUGGGAAUCUUAGGCAAUGGACGAAAGUCUGACCUAGCGACGCCGCGUGAGGGAAGAAGGCCUUCGGGUUGUAAACCUCUGUCAUGGGGAAGAAGGAAGUGACGGUACCCAAGAGGAAGCCCCUGCUAACUACGUGCCAGCAGCCGCGGAAUAGUGUGUGUA